UUGGAGGGCAAGUCUGGUGCCAGCAGCCGCGGUAAUUCCAGCUCCAAUAGCGUAUAUUAAAGUUGUUGCAGUUAAAAAGCUCGUAGUUGAAUUUCGGGAUCAAUACGUCGGUCGUGCUUUUUUGGUACGCACUGGCGUCAUUGGUUUCUCCUUUCUGACGAACCAUGAUGUCAUUAAUUUGGUGUUAUGGGGAGUUAGGACUGUUACUUUGAAAAAAUUAGAGUGUUUAAAGCAGGCAUUAGCUUGAAUACAUUAGCAUGGAAUAAUGAAAUAGGACGUUCGAUCCUAUUUUGUUGGUUUCUAGGAUCAACGUAAUGAUUAAUAGGGAUAGUUGGGGGCAUUAGUAUUCAAUUGUCAGAGGUGAAAUUCUUGGAUUUAUUGAAGACUAACUACUGCGAAAGCAUUUGCCAAGGAUGUUUUCAUUAAUCAAGAACGAAAGUUAGGGGAUCGAAGACGAUCAGAUACCGUCGUUGUCUUAACCAUAAACUAUGCCGACUAGGGAUCGGAUGAUGUUAAUUUUUUAAUGACUCAUUCGGCGCCUUACGGGAAAC
RNAcentral lists this ribosomal RNA (551 nucleotides) under uncultured Glomeromycotina. RNAcentral's name for it is "SSU rRNA". It matches the Rfam family "Eukaryotic small subunit ribosomal RNA", at positions 548 to 1098 of the family's 1831-position model. Lineage: Eukaryota; Fungi; Glomeromycota. The record is from RNAcentral.